UGACAACAUCUGCGAAGAGAAGGAAAGAAAAUUGGAUUCUUCGUUAGUGUCGGGGGUACAUAACCGUCGAGCUUGAAUUAUUGAUUCAAUCGAGAUCGGAUCCAAGGUGCCUGACUACACGCCGAUGUCGUUCACUUGCGCGGACCGGUUUGAAAAUGAAAUAAAAGGGAUAGAAAAAAAAAUUUUAUUUAAAAGUAGCAACGGUGAAACUGAUUGGCAGCAAUGAAAUAAAACGGAAACUUUUCUCGAGGUA
This is a long non-coding RNA of Nasonia vitripennis (jewel wasp), 253 nucleotides long. RefSeq lists it as uncharacterized. NCBI's taxonomy places the organism in Eukaryota, Metazoa, Arthropoda, Insecta, Hymenoptera, Pteromalidae. The transcript has 2 exons. The record is from RefSeq and is a predicted model, not a curated record.